Molecule: ribosomal RNA, 431 nt
Filed under: uncultured bacterium
Lineage: Bacteria
Description: partial 16S ribosomal RNA
Rfam family: Bacterial small subunit ribosomal RNA
Source: RNAcentral
AACGAACGCUGGCGGCAGGCCUAACACAUGCAAGUCGAGCGCCCUUUCGGGGGAGCGGCGGACGGGUGAGUAACGCGUGGGAAUAUGCCCUUCUCUACGGAAUAGCCUCGGGAAACUGAGAGUAAUACCGUAUACGCCCUGUGGGGGAAAGAUUUAUCGGGGAAGGAUUAGCCCGCGUUGGAUUAAGUAGUUGGUGGGGUAAUGGCCUACCAAGCCGACGAUCCAUAGCUGGUUUGAGAGGAUGAUCAGCCACACUGGGACUGAGACACGGCCCAGACUCCUACGGGAGGCAGCAGUGGGGAAUCUUAGACAAUGGGGGCAACCCUGAUCUAGCCAUGCCGCGUGAGUGAUGAAGGCCUUAGGGUUGUAAAGCUCUUUCAGCUGGGAAGAUAAUGACGGUACCAGCAGAAGAAGCCCCGGCUAACUCCGUG